CCUACGGGGGCAGCAGUGGGGAAUAUUGCACAAUGGGGGAAACCCUUAUGCAGCGACGCCGCGUUAAGGAAGAAGUAUUUCGGUAUGUAUACUUCUAUCAGCAGGGAAGAAAAUGACGGUACCUGACUAAGAAGCCCCGGCUAACUACGUGCCAGCAGCCGCGGUAAUACGUAGGGGGCAAGCGUUAUCCGGAUUUACUGGGUGAAAAGGGGGCGUAGGCGGUUCAGAAAGUCAGAAGUGAAAGCCCGGGGGUCAACUCCGGGACUGCUUUUGAAACUGUUGAACUAGAUUGCAGGAGAGGUAAGUGGAAUUCCUGGUGUAGCGGUGAAAUGCGUGGAUAUUAGGAGGAACACCAGUGGCGAAGGCGGCUUACUGGACUGUAAAUGACGCUGAGGCUCGAAAGCGUGGGAGCAAACAGGAUUAGAUACCCGUGUAGUC
RNAcentral lists this ribosomal RNA (438 nucleotides) under uncultured bacterium. RNAcentral's name for it is "partial 16S ribosomal RNA". It matches the Rfam family "Bacterial small subunit ribosomal RNA", at positions 338 to 795 of the family's 1533-position model. The record is from RNAcentral.